ACAUGUGAUCAGGAGGGAAAACCAAACACAGCAAAAGUAUUGAAGACAUCAUCACCAAUCACAAAGCCAAGGGGAAUAAAAGAGUUAACUGCAGGAUAUGCUGUGUGUAUUUAACCUCCUUUGAGAAAAUGAAAGUAUAAAUGAUUUACCAAUCAGAUUAUUUUUCAAGUAAAUGGAGUGGUAGCAGCUUAACCAUGGAGUUUCAUCACCUCUGGUCCCAUUUACACUAGUGAUCUGGAUAUCGUCAUCCUGGGAGGGGUCCUCACAUGGGCGGUUGGAGUGCCUGUCUGUUUCAGGUGGAAGGCUACAUCUGGCAGGUGAUUCGGGUCCUAUGACAUACAAAGCAUCGUGCUUGCAAUCAUGAGAGCGAGAUUGGAUGCCAUGCGUUCAGGUGCUGACUCGGGAAUCUGGUUUUCCCUAUGGAGUUUUUAAAUGGCUAUUUCUUACCACUGAACUAUUUAAAAGUUUCCCAGGACUUGCUCUAUCCUGGAAUUUAAAAGUUUUGGCUCACGCCUUCUUGGUCUGCUGACUCUGCACUCUAGGAAUUGAAGCUGGACUUCCAAGAGUCAU
Carcharodon carcharias (great white shark) is the source of this 570-nucleotide long non-coding RNA. RefSeq lists it as uncharacterized. NCBI's taxonomy places the organism in Eukaryota, Metazoa, Chordata, Chondrichthyes, Lamniformes, Lamnidae. The transcript has 3 exons. The record is from RefSeq and is a predicted model, not a curated record.